GUUUGAUCCUGGCUCAGAUUGAACGCUGGCGGCAUGCCUUACACAUGCAAGUCAACGGUAACGCGGGGCAACCUGGCGACGAGUGGCGAACGGGUGAGUAAUGCAUCGGAACGUGCCCAGUAGUGGGGGAUAGCCCGGCGAAAGCCGGAUUAAUACCGCAUACGACCUACGGGUGAAAGCGGGGGACUCGCAAGAGCCUCGCGCUAUUGGAGCGGCCGAUGUCAGAUUAGCUAGUUGGUGGGGUAAAAGCCUACCAAGGCGACGAUCUGUAGCUGGUCUGAGAGGACGACCAGCCACACUGGGACUGAGACACGGCCCAGACUCCUACGGGAGGCAGCAGUGGGGAAUUUUGGACAAUGGGCGCAAGCCUGAUCCAGCCAUGCCGCGUGCGGGAAGAAGGCCUUCGGGUUGUAAACCGCUUUUGUCAGGGAAGAAACGCUCUGGGCUAAUACCCCGGGGUAAUGACGGUACCUGAAGAAUAAGCACCGGCUAACUACGUGCCAGCAGCCGCGGUAAUACGUAGGGUGCAAGCGUUAAUCGGAAUUACUGGGCGUAAAGCGUGCGCAGGCAGUUAUACAAGACAGAUGUGAAAUCCCCGGGCUCAACCUGGGAACUGCAUUUGUGACUGUAUAGCUAGAGUACGGUAGAGGGGGAUGGAAUUCCGCGUGUAGCAGUGAAAUGCGUAGAUAUGCGGAGGAACACCGAUGGCGAAGGCAAUCCCCUGGACCUGUACUGACGCUCAUGCACGAAAGCGUGGGGAGCAAACAGGAUUAGAUACCCUGGUAGUCCACGCCCUAAACGAUGUCAACUGGUUGUUGGACGGCUUGCUGUUCAGUAACGAAGCUAACGCGUGAAGUUGACCGCCUGGGGAGUACGGCCGCAAGGUCGAAACUCAAAGGAAUUGACGGGGACCCGCACAAGCGGUGGAUGAUGUGGUUUAAUUCGAUGCAACGCGAAAAACCUUACCUACCCUUGACAUGUCAAGAAUCUUGCAGAGAUGUGAGAGUGCUCGAAAGAGAACUUGAACACAGGUGCUGCAUGGCCGUCGUCAGCUCGUGUCGUGAGAUGUUGGGUUAAGUCCCGCAACGAGCGCAACCCUUGUCAUUAGUUGCUACGAAAGGGCACUCUAAUGAGACUGCCGGUGACAAACCGGAGGAAGGUGGGGAUGACGUCAGGUCCUCAUGGCCCUUAUGGGUAGGGCUACACACGUCAUACAAUGGCCGGUACAGAGGGCUGCCAACCCGCGAGGGGGAGCUAAUCCCAGAAAACCGGUCGUAGUCCGGAUCGCAGUCUGCAACUCGACUGCGUGAAGUCGGAAUCGCUAGUAAUCGCGGAUCAGCUUGCCGCGGUGAAUACGUUCCCGGGUCUUGUACACACCGCCCGUCACACCAUGGGAGCGGGUUCUGCCAGAAGUAGUUAGCCUAACCGCAAGGGGGGCGAUUACCACGGCAGGGUUCGUGACUGGGGUGAAGUCGAAACAAGGUA
This 1485-nucleotide ribosomal RNA is filed under the name metagenome. RNAcentral's name for it is "bacterial SSU rRNA". It matches the Rfam family "Bacterial small subunit ribosomal RNA". The record is from RNAcentral.